GAUCCUGGCUCAGAGUGAACGCUGGCGGCAGGCCUAACACAUGCAAGUCGAGCGGCAGCGCGUCCGACCACCCUCGGGUGGUCGGAUGGCGGCGAGCGGCGGACGGGUGAGGAAUGCAUCGGAAUCUGCCUCGUUGGUGGGGGAUAACGGUAGGGAAACUUACGCUAAUACCGCAUACGACCGUACGGGUGAAAGUGGGGGACCGUUCGGGCCUCACGCGAUGAGAUGAGCCGAUGCCGGAUUAGCUAGUUGGCGGGGUAAAGGCCCACCAAGGCGACGAUCCGUAGCUGGUCUGAGAGGAUGAUCAGCCACACUGGAACUGAGACACGGUCCAGACUCCUACGGGAGGCAGCAGUGGGGAAUAUUGGACAAUGGGCGAAAGCCUGAUCCAGCAAUGCCGCGUGAGUGAUGAAGGCCUUAGGGUUGUAAAGCUCUUUACCAGGGAUGAUAAUGACAGUACCUGGAGAAUAAGCUCCGGCUAACUCCGUG
RNAcentral lists this ribosomal RNA (489 nucleotides) under uncultured bacterium. RNAcentral's name for it is "bacterial SSU rRNA". It matches the Rfam family "Bacterial small subunit ribosomal RNA", at positions 15 to 507 of the family's 1533-position model. The record is from RNAcentral.